This 253-nucleotide ribosomal RNA is filed under the name uncultured bacterium. RNAcentral describes it as "partial 16S ribosomal RNA". It matches the Rfam family "Bacterial small subunit ribosomal RNA", at positions 524 to 776 of the family's 1533-position model. The record is from RNAcentral.
UACGUAGGGGGCAAGCGUUGUCCGGAAUCAUUGGGCGUAAAGAGCGUGUAGGCGGCUCGAUAAGUCUGCUGUGAAAGUCCAGGGCUCAACCCUGGAAGGCCGGUGGAAACUGUCGGGCUAGAGUCCGGAAGAGGCGAGUGGAAUUCCCGGUGUAGCGGUGAAAUGCGUAGAGAUCAGCAGGAAUACCCGUGGCGAAGGCGGCCCCCUGGGCCGAACCUGACGCUGAGGCGCGAAGGCUAGGGGAGCGAACGGG